Molecule: ribosomal RNA, 410 nt
Filed under: uncultured bacterium
Lineage: Bacteria
Description: bacterial SSU rRNA
Rfam family: Bacterial small subunit ribosomal RNA
Source: RNAcentral
AACGAACGCUGGCGGCGCGCCUAAUACAUGCAAGUCGAGCGAGAAGACGUAGCAAUACGUUUGUAAAGCGGCGAACGGGUGAGGAAUACAUGGGUAACCUACCCUCGAGUGGGGAAUAACUAGCCGAAAGGUUAGCUAAUACCGCGUACGCUCCUUGGACUUCGGUUCAGGGAGGAAAGCGAUACCGUGGGUAUCGCGCUCUUGGAUGGGCUCAUGUCCUAUCAGCUUGUUGGUGAGGUAACGGCUCACCAAGGCUUCGACGGGUAGCUGGUCUGAGAGGACGAUCAGCCGCACUGGCACUGCGACACGGGCCAGACUCCUACGGGAGGCAGCAGUAAGGAAUAUUGCGCAAUGGGCGAAAGCCUGACGCAGCGACGCCGCGUGGGGGAUGAAGGUCUUCGGAUUGUAAA